UUUGUGAACGAGAGGAAGAAAAAAGGCAAGUCCGUGAAGUCAUUUUGCUAACACUCCAGCCAUCACAUAGGCUGCUGGGGCUUGAAGAAAAAUCAAGAAAAUUAGUGCUUGCGAAAGGGAAAGAGCGACAGCGGUGGACUGGGACGGGCACAGCGGGGCCCACGCAGCCCUCCUCCUGCCCGGCUCAGCCCCUCCCUGAAGCCGGCUCUCUGCUCUCCCCAGAUCGCUCUGUGUUCCUUCCUCUCCGGGGGCCUUACUACCUCCCGCCCGGGCCCUGCCGGGCAGCCCCCAGGGGGCAUCUGCGCCGCCUGCCCCUUCCCAGUGCCAGCAGCCCUUCCCGCCCUCCCCCUGUGAGUCUGUGCUCGCCGGCGCGCCUCUCCGCAGCCUGGACAGACAGUGCCCCCCGCAGGCCACAAUCGGCCCUGGGCUGUGGCGACCUGCGUGACAAAGAUGAAUACCCAUGGGGGCUUAGGAGGAGAACACCGGCGAACCUCCACUGGUGACCCCAAUUUCUGACUCGAACCCAGGUCCCCAGAGGUGAGGUGAAGAAAAUGCCUAAAUUAAAAUGCUAAUUACCGUCUUCAGCAAUUCGGUACCAGACAGUCACUUGUAUCUAUUAUUAACAGCUUCCCGCCACAGCCGCCGCUCGCCAAGAGACACGGAUGAUUUAAAGAUUCAGGUGCAAGAGAAAAUAACAGAAAACCGUGUUUGCACGGUGAAGCGCAGCCUGUGGGGGUGUCACCCUAUUCUGCCCACCCUGCGGAGAGAUGAUAAGAAGCCAAGGACAACAAAAGGUGCUGUCCCAGAAGGCCCCUGGGGGCUCCCCAGUAUCUGGAACCAAACCCUCAAUAUCUCCAAAGGUGUGGCUCCCCAUGCUUUUCUUCUGCCUUGGAAUUCAUGUCAGCUUCCUGAGGCCUGGCUUUGUCAUGCUUCCAAUUCUAUCUAUGUGCUGGCGAUCUCUGGAGGUCUCCGGAACUCCUGAAAAUUUAGUCUAUUCAAAGAUAGCCAGGGGCGCCUGGGUGGCGCAGUCGGUUAAGCGUCCGACUUCAGCCAGGUCACGAUCUCGCGGUCCGUGAGUUCGAGCCCCGCAUCAGGCUCUGGGCUGACGGCUCAGAGCCUGGAGCCUGUUUCUGAUUCUGUGUCUCCCUCUCUCUCUGCCCCUCCCCCGUUCAUGCUUUGUCUCUCUCUGUCCCAAAAAU
Molecule: long non-coding RNA, 1199 nt
Filed under: Felis catus (domestic cat)
Lineage: Eukaryota; Metazoa; Chordata; Mammalia; Carnivora; Felidae
Description: lncRNA (ENSFCAG00000045033.2)
Source: RNAcentral